GACGAACGCUGGCGGCGUGCCUAAUACAUGCAAGUCGAGCGAAGUUUUUUGGUGCUUGCACUAGAAAAACUUAGCGGCGAACGGGUGAGUAACACGUAAAGAACCUGCCUCAUAGACUGGGACAACUAUUGGAAACGAUAGCUAAUACCGGAUAACAGUAUUUCUCGCAUGGGAGAUAUUUAAAAGUUGGUUAUGCUAACACUAUGAGAUGGCUUUGCGGUGCAUUAGCUAGUUGGUGGGGUAAAGGCCCACCAAGGCGACGAUGCAUAGCCGACCUGAGAGGGUGAUCGGCCACACUGGGACUGAGACACGGCCCAGACUCCUACGGGAGGCAGCAGUAGGGAAUCUUCCGCAAUGGGCGAAAGCCUGACGGAGCAACGCCGCGUGAGUGAAGAAGGAUUUCGGUUCGUAAAGCUCUGUUGUUAGGGAAGAAUGGAUAUGUAGUAACUAUACAUGUACGAGACG
RNAcentral lists this ribosomal RNA (465 nucleotides) under Gemella morbillorum. RNAcentral describes it as "bacterial SSU rRNA". It matches the Rfam family "Bacterial small subunit ribosomal RNA", at positions 28 to 478 of the family's 1533-position model. The record is from RNAcentral. Lineage: Bacteria; Bacillati; Bacillota; Bacilli; Caryophanales; Gemellaceae.